UGAAAAAUAGUGAGGCCGGCGUUCGGCGUCGUCCCUCUGUUUCUGGGAGCAAAGCUGAAGCCGCGCCUAUUUCCCUCUUCGCAAGCUAGCGCCGCUGAGGGGACCGGCGGAUCGCCGCCGUCAUCUUCACUGAGCCACCAUCGGUACCUCCCUCUCCCUUCAAUUCGUGUCUCUCUAACUCUCUGUUUCCCUCUGUUCCUUUCUCGCUUCUAAAUUUUCACCUCAAAUUUCAGUAAGCAAAACUGAGCCCUAGCCCCAUUUCUGGAAUCGCCGCCGUCGCGGCCCUUCUCCGGCGCGAUGGAUCGCCGUUGGACAUGUGAAUCGGCGAGAGUCGCCGUCAGCAUCGGGUCUCCCGACCUUAGGUGUCUUGCUGCCUUCGCCCUUGAGUUCCAGCUAGCGGAUGCUUCCGUCGAUGCACUCUGCCCAUCGGAACAGAACUCGUUCUGCUUGGUGUCGCCCUUAGGCGCAGCCAUGGCGCUCUGCCCCA
RNAcentral lists this long non-coding RNA (487 nucleotides) under Salvia miltiorrhiza (redroot sage). RNAcentral's name for it is "long non-coding RNA (SMIL_LNC000431)". Lineage: Eukaryota; Viridiplantae; Streptophyta; Magnoliopsida; Lamiales; Lamiaceae. The record is from RNAcentral.